This 509-nucleotide transfer RNA is filed under the name Paracidovorax avenae. Its description in RNAcentral is "Acidovorax avenae partial 16S-23S ribosomal RNA intergenic spacer". The stretch from base 3 to 76 matches the Rfam family "tRNA". The record is from RNAcentral. Lineage: Bacteria; Pseudomonadati; Pseudomonadota; Betaproteobacteria; Burkholderiales; Comamonadaceae.
AUGGGUCUGUAGCUCAGCUGGUUAGAGCACCGUCUUGAUAAGGCGGGGGUCGUUGGUUCGAGCCCAACUAGACCCACCAAAUCUUCCGAACAUAAGAUGCGAGGAUCAGUGGGGGAUUAGCUCAGCUGGGAGAGCACCUGCUUUGCAAGCAGGGGGUCGUCGGUUCGAUCCCGUCAUCCUCCACCAACCAAUAUGUCCUGCGGUAGGGCAAAGAAACUAACACCAAAGCGGCUUCGCAAGAGGCCUCUUUGUUGUUGGUCCGGUAUAGACCGGGUCAAUCGGCUGUUCUUUAAAAAUUCAUAGAGUCGAAUCAGCGUUGUCGACGGAAAGCAGGAAACUGCACCGUGCCGUCGGCAACAAAAAUUUGAUUGCGUCAAAACGAAUAUUCAAUUGAGCGAAAGCUGAUUGAAGUUCAGUAAUGACGAAUUGUUCUCUAGGUAGCAAUACCGAAGAAGAAUUCACAUUACGGCAUAACGCGCGAGGUGAAAGACCUCGCAAGUCCUUGAAAG